Molecule: non-coding RNA, 1838 nt
Organism: Equus caballus (horse)
Lineage: Eukaryota; Metazoa; Chordata; Mammalia; Perissodactyla; Equidae
Source: RefSeq, a predicted model, not a curated record
GGGAGCCCAUCGAUAAAAUGAAGGCUCCUCUGCAUUGUGACCGCUGAGAAAGUUGCAGGGUGUCAAAGGAAAUGACAUUGAAAUGAAGGCCGUGGAUGGGGCUGCAUACAGCAGGGAUAGGGAAGAAAGAGAUGUUGGCGGGACAACAAGGUCUGAAGGUGGCCCGGGAAGAUGGUCUUCAAACAGGUCAGCACCUGGACAGCUCCCUGUAGAGUUUAGGAAUGCGGGAGCAGGGGAUCUUUGCAAAAGAGUCCUCCUACAGGGUGUGAAGGGUAUGACACUGAGCCAGCGGGGCAAGGAGUCUGAGGAGAUGCUUAGCAAUGGAAUUCUAAGUUUUUUCUUGGACCCAGUUGGACCCCAUCAUUGGCUGCUCACCGGAGACUAGGGAGUUCCUUUUCACUCGGUUACCUUCAUGAAGUUGCAUUUCAAUAUUAGGCCCUUAACUUGAUAAAGAUCACUAAAGAAAAAUCAUGUGAAAUUUACUACUUCAUUUGCUGCUUUAGAAAACCCGAAAUAUUGUUGAAGACCUCAUUCCUUCCGUUGCUCAGUCUCUGUUCUGUGUAAUAAAAUCAUUCCCAUGAAAUUUCCUUCAGAAUUCAGUGCCGGGAAAGGCUUCCACUCCUGGAGGCACACAUACGCUCCCUCUUCUCCAGUUAUGAGAACCCUAUAACUGGUCAUUGUUCCCACUUUUUGGACUGCUAAGAAAUGCAAAGCCAAGUUUGAGGAUCAAUGACAGCAAUUUUGGUAACUCUUGGGGGAAAUAUAUUCAUGUCUUUAUCGUCUUCGGUACUGACCUUCUAUUUUUAUUUUAUUAUCCACUUCAAAUGUCCUACUUGCAAGCCACUUCAAAUCCUGUGGAAAGAGACAAAAGCCAAAAUUUCUCUGGACCAUGAGCUCUGGUAAUCAUUGCCUCCCUAAGAUGCAGCCCAGUCCUGGCCCCUAAUGUCGUGCUCACGUAAAUAUUUGUCGAACGAAUGAAGGAAUGGAGGCACUUGACAACAAACCAGCCAAGGACAACACUGAUAUCGAUUGAAAAGUAACACGAGUUUCUGGUUGAUCCAAGAACCAGAAAACGUUACCAUGGAAGUAAGGCUUUAAGAAACAAAACAAAGGAAAUAAGUACCUAGAGUUUCAAAAAUGUUCAGUCAUUCUAUUUCUGGGAACCUAAUGGAGGAAAUGAAUCAAAAUGCUUUCAAAAUUCUAAGAACAAAGAUGUUCAUCACUGAGUUGUUACAAUAAUUUAAAAACUGAAAACAAUCUAUAAGUCCAAUAAUAGGGGAAUUAGUAAGAAAAUUGUGGUGAUGUGUAUAAUGGAAAGUGGUAGCCAUUUAAAAUUUUUGGUGCAAAGUGUUCUCAAUGACUUGAAGAAAAUAUAUGCACUAAGAGUACAAGAAAAAGCAGGAUACAGAAUUGUAGAUUCAUCACAUUCUCCACAAUGUAAGAAAAUAUUCAUAGAAGGAAGGAAAUAACUACAAUGCUAUCAGUGGUUGUCUCUCGGUUGUGUGAUGCUGGGUGAAUUUUAUUAUUUUGUCUUGACUUCUUUGUAUUUUCCAAGUUUUCACCACUAAGUGUGUAUUUUAUAGAGGAGAAUAGGCUUAAUUAAAAAUGGAAGAGAAAAAGAUACAAAGCAAUAGUAAGACCCAUUGAAACGCUCUUUGGGACAAGAGCAUCAUUCCAUCAAAAAUACAACUGGAGUGAUUUCUUGCUUCUCUUCCGGGUGGCUGUCAGUGCCAUGGAAGUCUCCCCUACCUACAGUGUGGUGUUUUUAAAACAGGUCCUCGAAUUCAAGUCUGAGCUUAGUUCCUCUCCCGUUGACUACGGUCUGGCCUUAGUGACUU